GACGAACGCUGGCGGCGUGCUUAACACAUGCAAGUCGUACGGUAAGGCCCUUUCGGGGGUACACGAGUGGCGAACGGGUGAGUAACACGUGAGUAACCUGCCCACAACUUUGGGAUAACGCUAGGAAACUGGUGCUAAUACUGGAUAUGUGCUCCUGCUGCAUGGUGGGGGUUGGAAAGCUCCGGCGGUUGUGGAUGGACUCGCGGCCUAUCAGCUUGUUGGUGGGGUAGUGGCCUACCGAGGCGGCGACGGGUAGCCGGCCUGAGAGGGUGACCGGCCACAUUGGGACUGAGAUACGGCCCAGACUCCUACGGGAGGCAGCAGUGGGGAAUAUUGCACAAUGGGCGCAAGCCUGAUGCAGCAACGCCGCGUGCGGGAUGACGGCCUUCGGGUUGUAAACCGCUUUCAGCAGGGACGAAGCUUUUUGUGACGGUACCUGCAGAAGAAGCACCGGCUAACUACGUG
RNAcentral lists this ribosomal RNA (465 nucleotides) under uncultured bacterium. RNAcentral's name for it is "partial 16S ribosomal RNA". It matches the Rfam family "Bacterial small subunit ribosomal RNA", at positions 28 to 507 of the family's 1533-position model. The record is from RNAcentral.